Molecule: ribosomal RNA, 405 nt
Filed under: uncultured bacterium
Lineage: Bacteria
Description: partial 16S ribosomal RNA
Rfam family: Bacterial small subunit ribosomal RNA
Source: RNAcentral
GACGAACGCUGGCGGCGUGCUUAACACAUGCAAGUCGAGCGGAGCGGCGAACGGGUGAGUAACGCGUGAGUAAUUGCCCCCCUCUCUGGGAUAACAGUUGGAAACGGUUGCUAAUACCGGAUAGUGGGGGAUGACUCGCGUCCUAUCAGCUUGUUGGUGGGGUAGUGGCCCACCAAGGGGACGACGGGUAGCCGGCCUGAGAGGGCGACCGGCCACAUUGGGCUGGGGUACGGCCCAAGCUCCUACGUGGGGCAGGAGUGGGGAAUAUUGCACAAUGGGGGAAACCCUGAUGCAGCAACGCCGCGUGCGGGAUGGCGGCCUUCGGGUUGGAAACCGCUUUCGGCCAUGACGCGGUAGUAGCAGAAGAAGCACCGGCUAACUACGUGCCAGCAGCCGCGGUAAUUC